CUUUCGUUGGCAGAGACCUUCCAGUACACUAGUAGCUCUUCUUGUGGUGGUACUCUAUACACCCGGGCUUGGAGUAUAUCCUCCUCGUUGUGUGAUACUCGCCCUAAUUCUUGGGGGGCCCCGCGGGUAUCUUACCAUAGGGGUACCCCUUUAUCAUAGACCUCCUGGUGGUUAACCCCCUAAGGGGCCAAAAAGCCGCAUACUAUCAAAACCGCUAACCUUGAUGAAAAAGCCGCGGGAACUCCGGCACACCCGGUAUCCGAGGGCCAACCGUUAACUCGGAAUACCUGGGGCGUAAAGCCCAAUUAGCCGGCUAAAUCAACGCAGAAACGGUGAAAGCCCCACAGCUUAAACUGUGGGACCAGCCUUCCUAAACUGGAUUAACAGAGUCUGGGAGAGAAGAUGGAACUAGUACUGUUAGGGUAAAUCCGUAGAGAUUACUAGGAAUACCGAAACGAAGCGAUCUUCUGGAACAGUACUGAACCCUGAGAUGCGAAAGCUGGGGACAAACAGGAUUAGAUACCCUGGUAGUCCACGCCCUAAACGAUGAAUGUUAGUCGUUGGAGUGCUAGCCACUUCAGUGAUGCAGCUAACGCAUUAAACAUUCCGCCUGGGGAGUACGGCCGCAAGGUUAAAACUCAAAGGAAUAGACGGGGACCCGCACAAGUGGUGGAGCAUGUGGUUUAAUUCGAAGAUACGCGAAGAACCUUACCUGGCCUUGACAUAUACCAGAACCUACCAGAGAUGGUGGGGUGCCUUCGGGAACUGGUAUACAGGUGCUGCACGGCUGUCGUCAGCUCGUGUCGUGAGAUGUUGGGUUAAGUCCCGCAACGAGCGCAACCCUCGUGACUAGUUACUAACAGCAUAGGCUGAGGACUCUAGUCAGACUGCCUUCGUAAGGAGGAGGAAGGUGGGGACGACGUCAAGUCAUCAUGGCCCUUACGGCCAGGGCGACACACGUGCUACAAUGGGGAGGACAAUGAGAAGCGAAAUCGCGAGAUGGAGCAAAUCUAUAAACCUUCUCUCAGUUCGGAUUGUAGUCUGCAACUCGACUACAUGAAGCUGGAAUCACUAGUAAUCGUGAAUCAGCCAUGUCACGGUGAAUACGUUCCCGGGUCUUGUACUCACCGCCCGUCACACCAUGGGAGUUGAUUUCACCCGAAGCGGGGUAUGAAUAAGUGACCCGCCACGUGGA
Molecule: ribosomal RNA, 1195 nt
Filed under: epibiont metagenome
Description: bacterial SSU rRNA
Rfam family: Bacterial small subunit ribosomal RNA (bases 224-1195)
Source: RNAcentral